RNAcentral lists this ribosomal RNA (406 nucleotides) under uncultured bacterium. RNAcentral describes it as "partial 16S ribosomal RNA". It matches the Rfam family "Bacterial small subunit ribosomal RNA", at positions 30 to 526 of the family's 1533-position model. The record is from RNAcentral.
AUUGAACGCUGGCGGCAGGCCUAACACAUGCAAGUCGAGCGAGCGGCGGACGGGUGAGUAAUAUCUGGGAAACUGCCUGAUGGAGGGGGAUAACUACUGGAAACGGUAGCUAAUACCGCAUACCAUCUGAUGUUCCCAGAUGGGAUUAGCUAGAAGGUGGGGUAACGGCUCACCUGGGCGACGAUCCCUAGCUGGUCGGAGAGGAUGACCAGCAAAACUGGAACGGAGACACGUUCCAGACUCCUACGGGAGGCAGCAGUGGGGAAUAUUGGACAAUGGGCGAAAGCCUGAUGCAGCCAUGCCGCGUGUGUGAAGAAGGCCUUCGGGUGGUAAAGCACUUUCAGCGGGGAGGCGUUACCCGCAGAAGAAGCACCGGCUAACUCCGUGCCAGCCGCCGCGGUAAUUC